AUUGAACGCUGGCGGCAGGCCUAACACAUGCAAGUCGAGCGGAUGACGGGAGCUUGCUCCUUGAUUCAGCGGCGGACGGGUGAGUAAUGCCUAGGAAUCUGCCUGGUAGUGGGGGACAACGUUUCGAAAGGAACGCUAAUACCGCAUACGUCCUACGGGAGAAAGCAGGGGACCUUCGCGCCUUGCGCUAUCAGAUGAGCCUAGGUCGGAUUAGCUAGUUGGUGGGGUAAUGGCCCACCAAGGCGACGAUCCGUAACUGGGCUGAGAGGAUGAUCAGUCACACUGGAAUUGAGACACGGUACAGACUUCUACCGGAGGCAGCAGUGGGGAAUAUUGGACAAUGGGCGAAAGCCUGAUUCAGCCAAGCCGCGUGUGUGAAGAAGGUCUUCGGAUUGUAAAGCACUUUAAGUUGGGAGGAAGGGCAGUAAGUUAAUACCUUGCUGUUUUGACGUUACCGACAGAAUAAGCACCGGCUAACUCUGUGCCAGCCGCCGCAGUAA
Molecule: ribosomal RNA, 500 nt
Filed under: uncultured bacterium
Lineage: Bacteria
Description: partial 16S ribosomal RNA
Rfam family: Bacterial small subunit ribosomal RNA
Source: RNAcentral